UACGUAGGUGACAAGCGUUGUCCGGAUUUACUGGGCGUAAAGCGCGUGUAGGCGGCUUUGCAAGUCGGAUGUGAAAGCCCACGGCUCAACCGUGGAAGUGCAUCCGAAACUGCAUGGCUGGAGUCUCGGAGAGGAAGGUGGAAUGCUUGGUGUAGAGGUGAAAUUCGUAGAUAUCAAGCAGAACACCUGCGGCGAAGGCGGCCUUCUGGACGAUGACUGACGCUGAGACGCGAAAGCGUGGGGAGCAAACAGG
Molecule: ribosomal RNA, 253 nt
Filed under: uncultured bacterium
Lineage: Bacteria
Description: partial 16S ribosomal RNA
Rfam family: Bacterial small subunit ribosomal RNA
Source: RNAcentral